CCUGGCUCAGGACGAACGCUGGCGGCGUGCUUAACACGAUGCAACCACUUCGGUGGGGAUUAGUGGCGAACGGGUGAGUAACACGUGGGCAAUCUGCCCUGCACUCUGGGACAAGCCCUGGAAACGGGGUCUAAUACCGGAUACUGAGCUACUUGGGCAUCCAAGUGGUUCGAAAGCUCCGGCGGUGGCAGGAUGAGCCCGCGGCCUAUCAGCUUGUUGGUGAGGUAAUGGCUCACCAAGGCGACGACGGGUAGCCGGCCUGAGAGGGCGACCGGCCACACUGGGACUGAGACACGGCCCAGACUCCUACGGGAGGCAGCAGUGGGGAAUAUUGCACAAUGGGCGAAAGCCUGAUGCAGCGACGCCGCGUGAGGGAUGACGGCCUUCGGGUUGUAAACCUCUUUCAGCAGGGAAGAAGCGAAAGUGACGGUACCUGCAGAAGAAGCGCCGGCUAACUACGUGCCAGCAGCCGCGGUAAUACGUAGGGCGCAAGCGUUGUCCGGAAUUAUUGGGCGUAAAGAGCUCGUAGGCGGGUGAAAGCCCGGGGCUUAACCCCGGGUCUGCAGUCGAUACGGGCAGGCUAGAGUUCGGUAGGGGAGAUCGGAAUUCCUGGUGUAGCGGUGAAAUGCGCAGAUAUCAGGAGGAACACCGGUGGCGAAGGCGGAUCUCUGGGCCGAUACUGACGCUGAGGAGCGAAAGCGUGGGGAGCGAACAGGAUUAGAUACCCUGGUAGUCCACGCCGUAAACGGUGGGCACUAGGUGUGGGCAACAUUCCACGUUGUCCGUGCCGCAGCUAACGCAUUAAGUGCCCCGCCUGGGGGAGUACGGCCGCAAGGCUAAAAACUCAAAAGGAAUUGACGGGGGGCCCGCACAAGCGGCGGAGCAUGUGGGCUUAAUUUCGACGCAACGCGAAGAACCUUACCAAGGCUUGACAUACACCGGAAACGUCCAGAGAUGGGCGCCCCCUUGUGGUCGGUGUACAGGUGGUGCAUGGCUGUCGUCAGCUCGUGUCGUGAGAUGUUGGGUUAAGUCCCGCAACGAGCGCAACCCUUGUCCCGUGUUGCCAGCAGGCCCUUGUGGUGCUGGGGACUCACGGGAGACCGCCGGGGUCAACUCGGAGGAAGGUGGGGACGACGUCAAGUCAUCAUGCCCCUUAUGUCUUGGGCUGCACACGUGCUACAAUGGCCGGUACAAUGAGCUGCGAUACCGCGAGGUGGAGCGAAUCUCAAAAAGCCGGUCUCAGUUCGGAUUGGGGUCUGCAACUCGACCCCAUGAAGUCGGAGUCGCUAGUAAUCGCAGAUCAGCAUUGCUGCGGUGAAUACGUUCCCGGGCCUUGUACACACCGCCCGUCACGUCACGAAAGUCGGUAACACCCGAAGCCGGUGGCCCAACCCCCUUGUGGG
This 1403-nucleotide ribosomal RNA is filed under the name Streptomyces sp. RNAcentral describes it as "bacterial SSU rRNA". It matches the Rfam family "Bacterial small subunit ribosomal RNA". The record is from RNAcentral. Lineage: Bacteria; Bacillati; Actinomycetota; Actinomycetes; Kitasatosporales; Streptomycetaceae.